RNAcentral lists this long non-coding RNA (37347 nucleotides) under Vitis vinifera (wine grape). RNAcentral's name for it is "long non-coding RNA (VVIN_LNC000343)". The record is from RNAcentral. Lineage: Eukaryota; Viridiplantae; Streptophyta; Magnoliopsida; Vitales; Vitaceae.
CACCGGCUAUCUGCUACAAUGUAAAGGUUGGAAGUCCAUUUUCUGCAACCCCAAAAGGCCUGCAUUUCUGGGAAAUUCACCUAUCAACCUUCACAGCAUCCUGAAUCAAAUUAUGCGAUGGUCUGUUGGCCUCCUUGAAGUGGCCUUCUGCAGAUAUAGUCCCAUCACUUUCGGAGUCAAGUCCAUAAACCCUCUUACAGGGCUAUGUUAUGCUCACUACGCCUUCUGGUCAAUAUGGUCCAUUCCAAUUACCAUCUAUGCCUUUGUCCCCCAGCUAGCUCUGCUCAAUUGUGCCUCAAUAUUCCCAAAGGUAUGCCCAUCUAAGCAUUCAUUAGCAUCGCAAUUAUGAAUUCAUGAUAAAUACUAUUAUAUAAUUGAUACUUAAUAAGCAAAUUGUAUGGUUUUGCAGGCAUCGGAACCUUGGUUUUUAUUGUACAUAUUCCUUUUCCUUGGUGCCUAUGGGCAAGAGUGUCUCGAGUUUAUGUUAGAUGGAGAAUCAAUCCAAAGAUGGUGGAACAAUCAGAGGAUGUGGACAAUUAGGGGACUCUCAAGUUUCAUUUUUGGAUUGGCUGAAUACUGGCUGAAGUUCAUUGGCAUUUCCACAUUUGGAUUUAAUGUUACAAGCAAGGUAGUUGAUGAGGAACAAAGCAAGCGAUAUAAUCAAGGGAUUUUCGAUUUUGGAGUCCCAUCACCCUUGUUCUUGCCCAUAACAACAGCUGCAGUAAUCAACUUGGUCUCAUUCCUAUGGGGCAUAGUACACGUUUUGAAGCAAAGAGACCUUGAAGGUCUAUUUAUGCAGAUGCUCUUGGCCAGUUUUGCAAUAGUGAAUUGCUGGCCGCUGUAUGAAGCCAUGGUCUUGAGGACUGAUGAAGGAAAGAUGCCUGUGAAGAUCACAUUGAUCUCAAUUACUCUUGCAUGGGCUCUUUACUUGGUAGCCCCCGUCGUAUUUUAAGAUAUGGCCAUGACUAUAUAUUUUCUCAUUGUCAGAUCUUUUCUGUGCCGCAGCCUGUGCAAUAUAUCAUUGAUAGUCUUGUUUUAAGUUUCGGCGUUUGUAAUCUAAUUUGCACGUUUUUAUUGGUUAUAAUAUUUUUUUUUGCGCACCCUUAAUAUAUUUUCUUAAGUACUCAAAAGGAGCAUAUGUUAAAGGAAGCAUUUUAACAACUUUAAUUUUAUCAUUAUAAAAAAGGGGGGAGAUUAAUUGUUAAGACCAAUGUUUGAUUUAUCUUGGUUUUUCAAUGAUAAUAAACAAGGUUUGGAUUUGUUUUAUAUUUAAUUAAUUGUGUUAGGCAAGUAAAUUUCCUAAAGGAAAUUAAAAUGGAGAAGACUUAGAAGAGUUGAUAUUUCAAGUUAAUUUUUCUAUGAUCUUUUUGUAAGGUUAUUGUGCAGAUGCACUAGACUCUCAUAUUGCGUUACAUUUUAAUUUAAGUAUUUGAAAUUAUUUAAAUGCUUAAGUAUGUUUGAUUCUUUUUUAAGUUAGAUGAAGAAUUUUUCUAAAUGAAAUCUACACAUUUGCUUGGUGCUCUUCAUGUAGGAUUAAAAAGUUUAUCUAAGUGAAUUUUCUUAUAGAUAUUGCGUUAAAUAUGUAAAAGUUGUAGAAACUACAAAGCUUAUUUAUACAUUUUAAAUGAUUUUUAUAAAAAAAAUGAAAUAGAUUAUUUCGAGGAUAAAAACUUAGAAGUUUUUCAUCAUAAAAAAGGGUUUUAGUCAAUCUUAAGUUUUUAUAUCAAAACAAUUCAAGCCAUAAAAGCUUAUUUGUGCAUAAUUUUUUUAUUUGUGUAUUAAUUUUUUAUAUUUUCUUAUAUGUUUGACCAAAGGUUGACUGACGUAGUUCCAUGGGUUACUGUUCACUCAAUUGGUUGCUCUUAAAUCUGUUGAAUCGAUUGAGGUUGACAAAAGUUUGUAUAAAUACAUUGGUUAAGUUAAGCUUAUUUCAAUAAGUUAAAAUGGAUCAAAAUUCAAACUAAUUAACAACUAGAAAAUUCUUCUUCAACCAAAUUAUUGUUAAUCAAGGUUUAUUAACAACUAGGGAAUGCAAGAAUCAUGUAGAAGAUCAUACAAACACCUAGCAAAUUAUUCAGGUUGGUAGAGUUUUCAUUCAAGUGCUUAGGGUUUUCUACAUUAGGGUUCAAUAAGAACAGCAAGGUAGUCCACGAUGAACAAGGAAAAAGGUACGAGCAAGGCACCUUUGAGUUUGGUGUCGCCUCGUGCGCCCAUGUUUGUGCCACUAACAAUGGCGGCCUUGGUCAACCUGUUAAUUUCAUUCCUCCGAGGGAUCAUUAAAAUUUCCAGAGGUAGAAGAAGUAUGGAAGAGUGGUUCAUAGAGAUGUUCAUUGCUGGUUUUGUGGUGGUGAAUUGCUUGCCAAUUUAUGAGGCCAUGGUCAUGAGGAAGGAUAAAGGGAGAAUACCUACCAAAACUACCAUUAUUUCUGCAGUUUUGGUCUAUGCUCUUUACACUGCGGCUUCUUUUACCCUGAAAAUUUGAUAGUAGAAUCUUUGCUUGGUGUUUUUACUUCGCAGAAGUGAGUGAAGAACAAAAAAAAUAGCAUAUGCAUGUAAUCUCAAGGGAGAAAAAAAAAAGCAUUAAAAAAAUCAUUAUUUAAUUAGAUUUGAGUUAUAAAAUCCAAAUUAAAAUAAUUUAUCCUGAUUGUGAUAUUCACAAUAUUUUCUGUCAUCUUAUAUAUCCUCUUGUACUUAUUAGAUCAUUCAUUGUAUUUUAGUGGUCACUUUUUAAUUAAAACAUAGAGCAGUGUAAUUGAUCAGUUUUCCUAACUUUUGCCACCUAGUUUUUGCUGCAACCAAAGGGAAAACAGUAAACGUGCAAUAUUAAAGUUCUAAAACAAAAGGGAAAAAACAAACGAAACCAAGCAUCACUGUUAAAUAUGUUGUAUGCAUUAAUGUUAUAUAAAAAGUAUAGUACUUCUUGUUUUAGCAUCUUCAGGGUUGGACAGUACUUCCAAGGCUCGGAUUUAUUUGUUUUUACCAAUGAUCCACUCGAGGGUUGAGUGCCAUCCCCGAUAGGGAUGGCAACGGGGCGGGUUCGGGGCGGGGCGCCCCCCUCCCAACCCCGCCCCGUUUAUUUAAAUCAAUUCCCAUCCCCGUCCCAUUUAAAAAAUUAAACGGGGCGGGGCGGGGCGGGCGGGUAUGCUACAUUCCCAUACCCGCCCCGUUUAGCUUUUUAUUUAAUUUUAAUUUUAAUUUUUUUAAAAAAUUACUUUUAAAUUUUUUUAAUUAUAUUAAAAUAAAUAUAUUUUAUAAAUAAUUAAAUAAUUAUAUUUUUUAUAACUUAUUUUAUUAAAAAUAAUUUAUUAUUAUCUAUAUAUUAAAAUAAUAAAAUAAAAAUUAAAUUAAAUUAAUUUUAAAUUUUAAAUUAAAUUUAAAUUUAAUUUUAAUUUUAUAUAUAAUCGGGGUGGGGCGGGGCGGGGCGGGGCGGGGCAAUACCCGAACCCGCCCCGGGUUUCAAAAAAAAUCCCAAACCCGUCCCAUACCCGUUUAGAAAAAUAAUAUCCCACCCCAUUAGGGGCGGGGCGGGGCGGGUACCCGAAAUGACCCGCCCCAUUGCCAUCCCUAAUCCAUGAUGGACGAAAACUUAGGCCUUGUGGUAAUUAGUUUUUAGAAUAGUUUUUCGUUUUUUUAAAAUAGAACAACAAGAAAUCGUGUUUGACAUUUGAAUAAUUAGAAAAUGAUGGAUGAAAACUUGAGUCUUAUUUAACAACUGUUUUUUAGAAUGAUUUUUUAUUUUUUUUAGAAUAGAAAGAUAAAAAAAAACAUGUUUGCUAUUCAAAAAAAUUGUUUUAUGUUUUUGCUUUAAGAAUAUAAGACAAAAUAUUUUUAGAAAACAUCUUGUAUUUUUAAAAAUAGGUUAAAACCAUUUAAAUUUUCAAAUAAAAUUUUAUUUUACAAAAUAUUAAAAACAUUUAUUAAGAACUUUUCUUAAAAAUUAUUUUUGAAAACUAUUUUCAAAAUCAGUUAACCAAACGAGGCAUAAAGAAUUGGGCUCAUGGUUUUAAAACGGUUGUCAAAUGACUAGUUUUUAAUAGUUAAUUAUAUAGUAUGGGGAUUAUGGGAAUAUGAAAGUGUAGGCCUCCCAAGCCUUCAAAAUGGGAGCCAUCAAUCGAUCUCCUUUUUAAAAAAGCCAAAACAUUAGACCCACUUAGAUUAUUUCUCCUUAGAAAUGAAUCCAUUCCAUGCUUACUUGCCUCUUAAGCUUUUUCCUCUUUCAUUAAGUAAAAUUUUUAAAAAAAUCUUGCAAAUAAUUUCUUAUUUUUUUACUUUAUCAAUAAAUUACGAAUAAAGUUAAAAUUACAAUAUUUUUUUAAACAAAAUAUUGAUAUUGUAAACUUCUAUUUAAACAUGAAGGAAUUUUUAAAAUAAGUUAAAAUAAAGGUUUUACAUGAAAUAAUAUUUUUUUAACUUUUAUGUUCAACUAUUUUUUAAGUGAUUAGUUUUUUUUUUUUUUUUUUUAAAACAAAACUAAUUAAACACAUAUAUAAAUUCUUAUUGCUAUUAAAAAAACCAUUUUUCCUUUCAAAAAUUAAUCUUGAAAUUAACUUUUAUAAAGUUUAAAUUAUACCUAUUUUUUUACAUAUGAUGGACAGAUGUAAAGGUUUUUAUCAAUAUAUUUGUUUACUCCAUUCUUGGACUAUGUUGGUAAUUUUGAUUAAUUAAAUUUAUUUUAAAAUAUUUUGUUUGAAUAUAAAAAUAAAAUAAUUUUAAACUUUAUUUUGAAUUUAAAAUAAACUUGAGUUUCUUUGUAAUAAUAUUUUUAGAAUACCCAACAACUUUACAAAAGAAAGAUGCUCAACAAAGGCACACCCAAUUGAACCAAGUCUUCCUCCAAGUCUUCCUUUAAGUCUUCCUCCAAGUCUAUGCUUUUGUGGUCCCAUUGAAAAAAUUUAGGAGGUGCACAAUUGGAUAUAUCCUAUCUUGUUUGUCCAUGGAAUUGGACAUAGUUUUAACCUCUAUUUUUAGAAGUGGAAGUAAUUAUUUUUAUUAUGCAAUUUUUAUUUUUUAUUUUUAUUAUGUAAUUAUUUUUAAUUACUUUUAUUAAAAAUAAUAUUAAGUUUUUUAUUUUUAAAAUUUUGAUAAAAUAAAAUUUACUUUUAACAUUGUGUCACAGUGGGAAAAGUAGAGGGUUUCUACUUUUAAAAUUUUAAAAUUUAAAAUUAUUUUUAAAUUUAUGAUAUUGUCAAAAAAUUUAAUUAAUAUUUAUCUUUUGAAGAAAUAAUUUUAAUUGAAUUUUAAAAAGAUAUUUUUUAUAUUUAAAUUGAAGUUAUUUCUUCGUAAAAAAAAAAAACUUUUAAUUGAUGUUAUAUAAAGUAUUAUUAUUAUUAUUUAAAUGAAAGUAUUUUCAAAAAGUAUUUCAAUUAUUAAAACGAAUCAAUACAUAUAAAAGCAUUUUGUUGGAUCAUAUUAUAAGUCAUGACUCAUGAGCCAUACAAUUGGGAAAUAUUAAGCACAAAAGACAGCUUCAUAUUUCGUAUACGGAGAAGAAAGAAGAGCAGUAAUGGCGAAUCCAUUCCAAUUCCGUCCUCCUCUUCACACCCGAGUUCUCAUGCGCCGAACCUCUGCAUACCGAGUGUUCGCCAUCUUCUACUCGUUUGCCAUCUUAGCUUUGCUAUAUCACCAUCUCAUUCAUCUACUCCACUCCCCAAAUACACUCUCCUUCUUCAUUCUUCUGGCUGAUGUAUUGUUUAGUUUCUUGUGGGCAUCCUCGCAGGGCUUUCACAUGUGUCCGACGGAUCGUCGGGUCUUCAUCGAACACCUUGAGCAUUAUGUCAAGGAGAGUGAUUAUCCGGGGCUGGAUGUGCUUAUAUGCACCGCUGAUCUACACAAGGAGCCACCUAUGGGUGUGGUGAACACUGCUCUAUCUAUGAUGGCAUAUGAUUAUCCGACAGCGAAGUUGUCGGUCUAUGUAUCCGAUGAUGGAGGUUCCAAGCUCACCCUCUUUGCUUUCAUGGAGGCUGCUAGGUUUGCUACCCACUGGCUACCUUUUUGUAGGAAGAAUAAGGUUGUAGAGAGGUGUCCGGAGGCUUAUUUCGGAUCCAACCCCUCAUCAUGGUUUCCAGAGACUGAUCAGAUUAAGGUAAAACAAUACCCAACUUCAUCUAUCUAUAUUACUUCCUUUUUAUUUUUUUUUUGUCUUUAAUUUCAAUAGUUAACCACCCAUUCACAUUGAGUCUCGGAAAUGCUUAUUGAUCUUUUGAAUUAUUUCUUCAACUGUAAUGAUGUAUUGGUUUAUUUCUGUGGGCUAGGUGGUUUCUCUUCUGUCAAAAAGGUCAAACAUCUACAAAGUUUUUUCUUACUUUUCUCUCACACUUCUUUUUGGCCCUUUGUCCUAUGUCUCUUUUGAUAUAUACCUUUGCUUGGAGUCAAGUUGAAGGCAUCUGCUCAUGUAUAUAUUUUGCCCUUUGCCUUCUUGCUUGUUCCUUUGUUCCAUGCUCCACCCGGAUUAAAGUCUUGAUUCGAUGUUGAUUUAUAAGACGUAAUUUGAGUGUUUGAUGACUUAAUAUUUAUUAUUUUAUAAUUUAAGUUAAUUUUAAAUAAAAUUAUUUUUAAAUUAUUAGUUUAAAACUUAUUAUUUAUUUUUUAUUUAAGUAUUAAAUUAUUUGAUAAAAUUAAUUUAAAAUUUAUUUUAAAUUAUCAAUAUAUUUAUCUUAUUAAUUUUAACUAAUUUUUAUAUUUUUACUAAUCUUAAAAAAUAAAUUUGUUUAUUAAAUAUCGUAUUUAAAGUAUUAGAAAUAUAUAAGAUAACUGCAAAAAUAAUUAUUAUAAAAAAUGAAUAUUGUAAAUAUGAAGUCAUAGUUAUAAAUUAUACUCUCACUAAAUAUGAAUAAAUAAGAUAAAAAAAAAUUUAAGAUUAAAAAUAAAUUAACUAUUUUGAUUUAAUAUUUAAAAUUAUUUUUACUUUAAAAUGUAAUAUUAAGUUAUUUUAUCUGACUUAAAUUUAAGUCAUUAAAUCAUUAAAUUAAUAUAUAUACACCAAACACCCACUUUAUCAAUAAUAACAACAUUUACUUGUAAGAGCAAUAUUAUUCUUUUCGUGGGUUUGACCAUUUUGUUAUCAUCUUAAUACGAUUAUAAGUGAUGGAUCGAUAAAAACCGUAAAUUAUAUAGUAACAAAAUUGGAGAGGAGAAGUAUUUCCUAUUUAUAAUAGCUAGAUAGGUUUUGGACUCCAUCGAUGUCUUGGAUACAUGACGCAUGAUGUCUAAACUCAAUUAAUUGAUUUGGGUUUUCUGAUCACUAAGGUUAUUACACUAUAUAUGAUUAGGUGAACCUCUUCUUGUUACCAUUAGUUAAUAUAAUUCAACUCUCUUACACAUCUUAAUGCAUGAAUUUUGAUAUACCCCACAAGUGCUAUGCUCAUUAAUUGUUGCGUGCAAAGAACUCAGACUUCCUUACACGACACGUAAUUAAAAGUUGAAAAGAACUUUUUGUGUGGAGGAUGCUGAGACUUCAUCCACUGAAACAAACUUAGGAACCAGUAUGAGUAUCCACUAAUGUCUUUGACAAAUAAAUCUUUUUCCUUUUCUUAACAUGAUUAGUUUGGUUAAGAGCCAUGCAAGGAGGAUGCUGAGAAUUAGUCCACUCACUUUAAAUAUACAUGGUGUGGUUAGUUUCCACCUUAGAUAUGAAAAAGAAUAUGCUUUGCUGAAUAAGAAAUUCACAGUAGUUGUACUUGAAAUAUUACAUUAAGCUUAAUUUGUACAAUAUGGCAUUUUUUUUUAAUUUUUCCUGCAAAUGGAUGCAAAGAUUGCAUUUAGUUUAAAAGUCCCAUUCUGAAUCAACCAACUCUCAAUCCAAACCUAGGACUCCUUGAUUUGCAUAAUGCCGUUUUCUUCAUUUGCCCUUUCUCCAAUAGAACAUGACUGCAUAAAAUAUUCUUACACUUUAAAGACCUAAAUUUUGAGUUAGAUUAUGGUCACUAUUUGUAUCAUAGUAUCUGGGAAAAGUAAGUUUUGAUUCACUAAUAUGAAAAUAUGUAGAAAAAAAAUCUCAAAUAUUUUAAAUUAGUAUUAUCUUCAUCUAUUUAAAAAUAAUUUGAAAUAUAUACAUUUUUUAAUGAGUCAUUCAAUUAUUCCAAAAAAUGUCUAUUUACUUACCAUGUCAUUCAAAUAAAUUGACAAUUAGACUAUUUCAUAUAGAUAUUUCCAUUCUUUUUAGAUAUUUUAUUAUUAUUAUUUUAUUUGAGAAUUUUUUUUUUCUUUAGGAACAUUAUAAAGUAAGAAUUUGAAAAAGAGAGAGUUUAUUAAAGUAUUAAUAAGUUAAAAAUAAAUUCAUAUUCUUGAUAAUAAAUAAACCAAUAAUAAAUUUGUAUUUAUUAUAUAAUAUUAAUAAUUGUUUAAUUUAAUAACAAAGAAAAUUUAUUGUAAGAGUUUUUCAGAUAUAAAAUAUUUUACAAUAUGAUUGUACUUUGAUAUAUAGUAUACAAAUAAAUAAAUAAAUAAAUAAUUAUUUUAUAUUAAAUAAAUUAAUGAUAAUUAAAAUAAUUAUAUAUUAUUUAACAAACAACCUUAUUACCUUUUGAAUUGGUAAUUAUGAUUAAAUAAGAUUUGUUUGAUAAUAUUUCCUCUUAAAAUUUUAGGAAAUAAAAAAAUAAUGGUGUUUGUUUCUAGAGAAAAAAAAAAUCUCAAAUAAUAAAAUAAUAAAAUAAUAAAAUAAUAAUACAAUAUUUUGAAAAAAAUGGAAACAUUUACGUAAAGUAGUCUAGUUGUCAAUUUAUUGAAUGACAUGGUAAGUAAAAUGAUAUUUUUGUAAAUAAUUGUAUAACUCAUUAAAAAGUACAUAUAUUUUAAAUUAUUUUUAAAUAAAUGAAGAUAAUACUAAUUUAGAAUAUCUGAGAUUCUUUUUAUCAUAUAUUUUCAUAUUAGUGAAUCAGAUCCCACUUUUCCCAUAAUAUUUUACAUUUAUUUAUUUUUUUAUCUCAAAAUUAUUGUGGUUCAAAGUUCUAUAAACAUAUAUUAAUUAAACACUAACAAAUCUCUUUUGGACAAUCUUCUUCUCAUCCUUCUUAGAAUUUUAUUAGAAGGCAAGAGUCUCACCAAGCUUGAUGUAACCAAAGUACUGUAUGCCCAAAAUUAGGCUAUAUUAACAGGAAUGAUGUUUUGAAUCAAAUGCUAUGUUGCAGCUGAUGUACGAGACCAUGAAAAUUAAGGUGGAGAGCGUUGUUGAGAAAGGGACCAUUCCCCAUGAUCAUUUCACCAAUGAGCAGGAAAAACAAGCUUUCAGCAGAUGGACUGAUGAGUUUACACAAGCAAAUCACCCUGCUGUGGUUCAGGUUUGCUUCAAUGCAACUCCUAAACUCCUAAUCCCAUAAAAUCUGGCAUUACUCUUCAUUGCGUUUUAUUAUUUUUAUUUUUGGGGGAAAAAUGUGCAACCACUAAUGAAUAGGUAGGUUGAGAUCAGGUUCUGUUGGAGGGUAACAAGGACAUGGACAUCACUGGCCAUACAAUGCCCAACCUCGUCUAUGUAUCCAGAGAGAAAAGGCCCGGUUCACCCCACCAUUUCAAGGCUGGUGCCCUUAAUGUCCUGGUAAGCAAAACCAACCAUCCUCAAGACUUGUUAAAUUUCCAUGUUUGUAACUUUAUACAUGUUGGAAUCUUUAGAAGCGUUGCAAACCCCUUAUACCCAUUUCAAAAUGAGAACAAAAAAUGAAAGAAAAUCAAUCUUUUAGGGUGUUGGUGAUUAUUAUUGAAGUAAUUAUCUCAUAGUCUAAAAGCUUCUAUUAGGAUCCAUGAGAGACUAAGAGAUAAAAAUUGAAAAAUUCUCCUUCACAAGGUAGAAUAUUUUUUUAUCUGAUUGAUAACAAGCUUUCUUAAUCUUAGAGGCCAAAUAUCUGAUAAAAUAAUUCAAUGAUAUUAUUCUGUUUUUGUCUUCCAGAUUCGAGUGUCAGCCACCAUGACCAAUGCACGAGUAGUCCUGACUCUCGACAGCGACAUGCACUCAAAUGAUCCUCAAACACCUCUUCGCGCCCUGUGUUAUCUCUUGGACCCUGAUAUGGAUCCAAAUCUCGGGUUCGUUCAGUUUCCUCAAGCCUUCCAUGGGAUCAACAAGAAUGAUAUUUACGCUGGUGAGUGUAUACAUGUGUAUCAAAUUCAUCCCAUUGGAAUGGACGGCCUAGCAGGCCCCAUGCAUGUAGGGACUGGAUGUUUUUUCCGGCGAGAAGUCUUCUCUGGUGGCCCAUCCAGAACCCCCGGACAGAGCUCAGAUCAUCUCGUGAGCAAGUCAAUCGGGAACAAAGAAGUUUUAGCAUCAGCACAUCAUGUUUCAGCAUGGAAUUAUGAGAAUCAAACCAAUUGGGGCACCAAGGUGAUUAUAUGUAUAAGCUCUUUUGUUAGUACUAGUUUGAGUUUAUGAAAUCAGGAAUAAAGGAAAACGAACCAGAUCCAAUUAAUUAAACAAGAAUAUAACAUACUAAUUAUCGGUAUUUCCAAAUUGUGUAGAUGGGAUACAGAUAUGGGUCAUUGUGUGAGGACUACUGCACGGGCUAUCGGCUGCAUUGUGAAGGAUGGAAGUCCAUUUUUUGCAAUCCUAAGAGGCCUGCAUUUCUGGGGAGGGCACCGAUUAACCUCAAUGUCUGUCUGAAUCAAUCCAAGCGGUGGGGGGUUGGCCUCCUUGAGGUUGGGUUUUGCAAGCAUAGCCCAAUCGUCUUCGGCUUAAUGGAGAUAGGCCCUCUCAUGGGUCUAUGUUACGCAAACUAUGCCUUCAGGCCCCUCUGGUCCAUUCCAAUCACCAUCUAUGCCUUUCUCCCCCAGCUAGCUCUACUCAAAGGUGUCUCAAUCUUCCCCAAGGUAUGUGUCCAUUCAUCCAUGAGCAUUAUAGGUUUCAGAUUAUACACUUAAAUGUGGUUUAAUUUACAGGUCUCAGAACCUAGGUUUUUCUUAUACAUAUUCCUUUUCGUUGGAGCAUACACACAAGAUUGUCUAGACUUCUUAUUAUCUGGAGCUACAAUCCAGAGGUGGUGGAGCACCCAGAGGGUGUGGAUGAUGAGGGGGGUCUCAAGUUUCUCAUUCUCUUUAGUCGAAUACUUGCUCAAAUGCAUUGGCAUUUCCCAAUUCGGAUUCAAUGUGACAAGCAAGGUGGUUGACAAGGAACAAAGCAAGCGGUACAAGCAAGGGAUUUUCGAGUUUGGAGUCUCAUCACCCUUGUUCUUGCCGCUAACAACAGCAGCCAUAAUGAACUUGGUCUCAUUCCUAUGGGGCAUGGUACUAAUCUUCAAGAAGAAAAACCUGGAAGGCAUGCUUUUGCAGAUGUUGUUAGCUGGUUUUGUGAUGGUGAACUGCUGGCCAAUAUAUGAAGCCAUGGUCUUGAGAACUGAUAGAGGAAGGAUGCCCACCAGAACUACUAUUAUUUCCAUAUUCUUGGCUUGGGCUCUUUGCAUAAUUGUUUCUGUCAGUCCAAAAAUAUGAUAUAAUUCGGAGCUUUGCUAUGUAUUAGUACAUUUAUUUAGUUGACUUUGUCCCACAUAAAUAUAAAAAUAUAAUUAUUGUGUAUUGAUAAUUCGGGGUCAAAAUUUCCAUUGUGUCUCUUAGUUUCUACUCUUCAAAUCCUCCGUUGGAUAUUUGUCUUUUCCAAAUUGUUCGUAUUUGAAGAUGGCUAGAGUGGGUAAGUACAUUUGAGGCGGAUGAUGACAAACAUUGAUUAACAUUAUUUUAAAUUUUUAUAUUAUUAUUGGUAAAUGAAAUUGAAGUUUAAAAGUGUAAAACAUUGUGUUUAAAACAUUUGGAUUUAUUUCUAAUCGAUCAAAUCAAAGGGUAACAGUUUAUGUUUCACUCAGGUUUUUUUUUCAAUCUUGUUUGACUGAUUAGACUUUGAUCACACUUCUGAAUUUUCAUGAUUUUCUAAAUAAAUCUCAGUUGUUGGAUGAGUUUCAAAACCCUAAUGCUUAAGCCCUUUUUCCAAAAGUGUAGAGGAUGAUUGCGAGUGGAAACCCUGUUUUUGAGCUUCAAGUUUUUCUUACCAAAUUAGGAAGUGUUUGUCUUGAGAGAAAAUCAUUUGAGAUUGAGUUGAAAAUCUAUUUUUGAAUGAGAAAUUUUUGUCCCAAAUGGGUUGAUUCAUUGAGUUAUUCAUCCUUACUCUCAUAUUAUUCUCAUAUUCAACAUAUUGGGGGUAAAACCUAAGUUUCUUCUUGUAUGGACUAAAGAAGAGGUGGAGAUUAAAGUUUGGAGUGGAUUCUAAGUAUUUCCUGAAAGAGGAAAAGUCGAAGCUAAAGUUUGAAGAUUCUAGGCAAGUGGUUCGGAAGAGGAUGGAAGGCUUGAACUAGGUAAAACUUUAUAUUUAAUUAAUUUUUCUUCAUAGUAGAUUAUUUGAUUGCUUGAAACUAGCUAGUGGUUUUUUUUAUAUCUUUAGAGGUUUUCUAUGUUAAAAAAAUUGGUGUUAUUGUCUCUUAAUUUUAUCUUCUCUUUUGAUUAGCAUUUCAUUAGUUUAUGAUAUUUUCAUUAAGUUAUAUCGAAUAAUAUUUAAUAGAGCAUAAUUUGAUAUUUUCUAUUGGAGCUUUGAUUGAUAUAUAUAAUUGGAGCUUUGAUAAUCUGAUAUUUAAUUGGAGCAUUGAUAAUCUAAUAUUUAAUUGAAGCAUUGAUAAUUUGAUAUUUAAUUGGAGUAUAUAUAUAUAUAUAUAUAUAUAUAUAUAUAUAUAUAUAUAUAUAUAUAUAUAUAUAUAUCAGUUUUUGUUGAUCGAUGUCACUCGACAUGUGAAAAUGAGUGUUUGUUUUGAUGUAUAUCUUAUAUAUCUGUUUGCAUAGUGUUGUUCCAUUUGUAUGUGACUUGUAUUGAAUAAUUUGUUUGAAAGAGUAUUUGUGCAUUUAUUGUUGUUUGUGAUUUGUUUUUUUGUUCAUAGGGUUGAAAAAGAAGAUUAAUUUAUAAAAGAAAAAUAAGGGAAUUAUAAGCAUUUGUGAGAUAUCAUCUCUAAUUAUUGCAAAAACACCUAUCCACCCCCCUUAGGUGAAAUUCAUCUUCAAUUAUUCUUCAAAAUACUUGUAGAAAUCCACAGCAAUUUAACACAAAUAACCAAUAAAAAAUUUAAUCAAGAUUAGUUAAAAAACAAAUUAGAAGGCAAAAACAAUACAACAGGUUAAUUCGAAUUACAUAGUAUAUCAAUCUUUCAUACACGAGAAGGGUUUUGAAGCAACCCACCAUGAUCAGAAGGAGAAAUAUUACUGCAUGCUCAGGACUCAGCAGGCGUAUUUCAUGGUUCUCUUCUUUGUAUUUCGAUAGGAAACACACAAGUAUUGUAUAGCCAAAAUUCUGUUAGAUGUGUUAAUUUGGUUUACAUAUGCAUUGAAAUAUUAAAAAAAUAAGGAUUGUUAGAUAAUAAUUAGUACCAGAAUUCCUUUUAAAUUGAGUUACAACCGUGCAAAAGGAAAAAAAAAAUCAAAAUUUUCCCAAAAUAGAAAAAAAAUUAGAGCACAAAAUUACCAUAAAAAUUUAUGAUAAUUAAUUUGUAUGUUAUAGUGACCUUUGUCUUUUUAAGAAAGAGCAUUUGUACCUAGCUGAUGUCUUUAUUCACAUUUAACAAGAAGCAAAGUCUAAAAGGAUGGUUAAUUUUAUUAGCCUUGAGAGUUUGAAUAAAUGCACAUACUCUCAAUGAUUUAAAAUUUUAUCAAAUGACUUAUAUAUAUUUUUUAUUUGAUUUUUUAUUUAUCUCAUCUCUAAUUCAAAAUAAAGGAGGUAUUUGACGAAUUUUCAAAUCAACGAGGAUUAGUUGUAUUUAACUAAAACUCAAAAAAGAUGAGUGAAAUUGACCCUAAAAUUUAAUCCAUGUGUGAGUUUGAAUUGGAAGUAUAUUAAAUCACAAUGAACAAAGAUUUUUACUAAAGACUAAAGAGAACUUGUUAUGUAUCCGUAUAAAGACAUGCAUAUAAGAAGAGGACCAUUCUCAACCUCCAACACCAAAGGAAUGGAAGCUGUGAGUGUAAUUGAGAAGAAGGGCAAUGGCGCCACCAAACAAAGUCUUCCACUCCACACAAGGGUUUUGAUGCCCCACGCUUGGGCAAACAGGGUUUUUGCGUUUGUAUACUUGUGUGCCAUGUUAGCUUUACUGUAUCAUCACUUUAUUCAUCUACUUCAUUCCACCUCCAUGGUCUCCAUCUUCCUUCUUCUGGUUGAUGCAGUACUGGCCUUCAUGUGCUUGGCUUCAUAGGCCUGCCGCAUGUGUCUGGUUUUCAUUGAACACUUUCAGCAUUACGCCGAGGAGAGCGAGUAUCCGAGGUUAGAUGUGUUUAUAUGCACUGCUGAUCCAUACAAGGAGCCACCCAUGUCUGUGGUGAACACUGCCGUAUCUGUGAAGGCAUAUGAUUAUCCAAUAGAGAAGUUGUCGGUAUAUGUAUCAGAUGAUGGAGGGUCCAAGCUAAAUCUCUUCGCUUUCAUGGAGGCUGCUAGGUUUGCCACCCACUGGCUGCCUUACUGUAGGAAGAAUAUGGUUACGGAGAGGUGUCCCGAGGCUUAUUUUAGAUCAAAUCACCCACUGGCGUGGAGUCUUCUUUGGUGGGCCAUUAGAAACCCCAGAACUGAACCAGGAUCAUCUAGUGAACAAGUCAAUCAAUUCCAAAGAAGUUUUAGCAAUGGCACACCGUGUUGCAGACUGCAAUUUUGAGAAGCAAACCAAAUGGGGUGCUGAAGUAAGCUUGUUGGUUAUUUUAAUUCUAGAUAAUAUUAAAAGAAGGGAAGAGUUCUGCUGGAUUAUCUACUGUGGAUUAGUAGAAUACUUUAUUUUUCAGCAUUGUGUGAAAAGUGUUUUUGAAAACAGUUAUGAAAACUAGUUUUUAAAAAUUUAUUUGAUGGUUUGUAAAACAAAAACCCUUUUGAGAAUCUUAAAUGUUUUUAACCUACUUUCUAUAUUUUUUAAAUAUGUUUUAAAAACAACAUUUAUAUAUAUUAUUUUAUUUUUAAUUAAUUUUCAUAUUUGUAUGAUUAUUUUUUAAAACCGUUGGUAAAAACAAGUGAAAACUAUUAAAACAACUAAGAGAUCUAGUUUUAUGAACGCAAUUUUUUUUUGGAAGAUUCACGAAUUAUUUUUGGAAAGGAAAGGUUCCACAUGCUAUAUAUAUAUAUGGGAAAACACAAGAAGCAUAGACAGUUUUGGAAACGGGUAGAUUUGGGACCAUCUAGAGGAGACCUUUAGAGUCUCCACAAAAAAAGGCAGUCGUGCCAUGAAAAAGGAAGGCCUCCACUCUGCUAUAGCAGGCAUGAUCAUAAAGAAUAAUAUCAGACACCAUGAGGAGAGGAGGGGAAGAGAUCAGAGGGGUUCUUGGUUUUUGGUGAUAAAAAGGCUUGGGCAGGAGGGAAACGAGAGGAAAAAGGAAAGGGAUGAGCAUCUCCACAACACAUAAAACUGGAAUAGGGCCAUCUGGACGUGCUGCAGAGGGAGACACAGGGGGCUUUGGCUGGUGGCCGAGGAAAGAUGAGUGCUUGAAGACGAGCACAUCUUGCACGGGGAAGAGACUUCCAGGUAUUAGCAUUGUGGAUUUCCUAUUCAUCUUUCUUAUUAUAUCAGUCUUCAUGCAUUUAUCUGGUCGUUUUUGGCUUUCAUUUGUUACUUGGGUAUAUUAUUGCUCUGUUUUCUUUGUUACCUUCUCUUGGCAUUCACUCAAAGAUAUUUGGAUAUGGUUCGAGUCAUGCCACCGACCAUGAAGCCCUUUGAUUUCAGCAUGAAAUGGGUUCCCACAUAUUGAGUCUUUUGUUUGUUUGUUUGUCAUUUUGAACGUACUCUAUUUGGGGUCGUUCAUCUCUGUAUUUGGUAUCUCAAUCCUUGUCUUUGUUUCUGGGUCACAUCUUUGGGGUUUGCUCUGAAUGUCUCGUUUGUGCUUUGGUAUGCCCGAGGAAAGAGGCUGCGUGUUUCAAUUUACUGCUAAAGAUUUGUAAGUCUAGUGGAGAGUUAUUUGUACUCUGCAAGGGAGCUGCUACAUAUUUGCAGUUUUAUUUGGAGCCUAAUGAUGCAAACUAACCAGUGGGUCAUCAAGAUGUAGGAUAUAAGCAUUUGUUCUAAGCAGUAUGCUCGGAGGAUCAUGAGAUGUCUAUAUGUUCUGCAUGUUCACAGUACGAGGAAUCAGUUGGAGUUCGCCUAUAUUCCCCUAAUAGGAGCUAGUCUCUAAUCACAAUGCUAGUGAAGUAAUUCACUGAAUACCUUUCAGAAACCUGCUCCCAAUGGGUGAUUUGAAAGAAAACUUGGUGAUGGAGAAGACCCUAUCGAUGAUGAGUCGAUUCCAAUCGCUCCUUUGUUCUUAAGAGAUUGAUGAAAAGAAUGCGAAUGCUGUUACCAGAUGAAAGUGCCAAGAGGCAUGGAGUUGAAAAUUAAUCCGCAGGAAAGCAUGAACACGGGUAUGGCAAAGGUGAGUUAUCCUAAUGAUGUUAUUGGGAAUGGUUUGAUUCAUUAUGGUCUUCCGAAUGGUUCAGGAACUGCUACAGGGGACAAAGCAUAUUUGAAAUUUCAAUUUUAGGACAUACUCAAAAUGGUUGCAGCGAGGAGGCCUUACAAUUUUGUCAAAGAAUGCGUGGAAACAUUGCCAUAGCCGACCAAGCCGUCCUUUGCCUCUUAAACCUAUGAUGAAUCCAUUAUGAGAUCGCCACCAUCCCCGAUAUGUCGGACCAUCGCAAUCUUUUGAGUUUGAAUAUCCUACACUGCAUGUAUUACCAAGAAACAACCUUUCAGCAUUCUCACCGCUGUUAGCAUCUCUUGUAGAGCUAGAAGACAGCCCACAACAGAACCCCCAACUUCUGUACAAAAGCAUCUAAAGAUAGCUCCAAUGCCAGGGGUUGAUGAUUUAAUUGAUCAAACGGCUGUCACAACUGGCCUUGAUUUUUUUUUUUUUAAUGGAAGCCACUCAGCCUUCUGUUGUUGAUGCAAAUUCAGAAUGAGAAAUUGAAGUUUAGAGUGAGAUCGUUUUUCACGAAAAGGAAACAGGCAUUGAUGAUAGUGAAUAAUGGUGUUCCCCUUAAUCAAGACCUCAUCAGUAACUUUCCCUCUCUGAUCCUGUGCGUGGAGCCAUGGAAGUCUGUGCCCAGCUCAGACCCAUUGUCAACAUCUCGGCAGAAUACUCCUCCAGAUGCAGUUUUUUCUCACCUAGAUCUCACAUCACCAUGAUCACAUGCGGAUCAAUGUCUACUUUGAAAUUUGUGGACACCAGGAGUUGAGGUCUACUUAGAAGCUGGGAGUUGGGUGAAUGCUCUAAAAUAAAGCCUGAUUUCAUCAAAACACGGAGAAUUGGCGGGCACAAGUAAGAAAGCUGGACUGUAAGUCAUUCUAGGUUUAGUGUGAUUGUGUUGUGUCCUAAGGUAUUGAGCCUAUUCGCGAGGAGACUCUGUGUCCAAGACGAAGAAGUACACACGCCUGUCUUCCCCCCGAGUCCCACUUCCACAUGAAAGUGCAUGGCCACCUUUGGGUGUGCUAUUCUCAAAGCUCACAGCUGCUGGGCAAAUGAUGAAGAUGACUUGGUCCAAGGUGAAUCACGCCGGCCACUCCCACCCAAAGCUUCUGAUAUAAGAUGAGCUAGUACAGUUCAACCCUGACAACAAUCACUAGCUUCAAUGAGUUUACAGUAUAUGUGCUAACACGAAGCAAGGGGUGAAUUAGAUUAUGAUGAAUACAGAUCAACAUGGGGACGAGAAGGUCUGGGUCAACCAUCUUCAAAGAGCUUGUGCACCUUACCACUAAGUUUACCAGCUUGGAGAAUACGUAUACCAACUAUGGUAGUGAUAGAUGCUUUCCUACAGAAUAUAUAGGAGUUAGAUGGGUACAUGGAAUCUGAAAAAUUUAUGCUAAGGAAAGGGACAGAUAUUUAGAGGUUCGAGAAUGCGGAGUCAUGUAAAAAGAUGCUCAACUCCCGGGAAUCAAUACACAAGCUAUACCAAACAAUCAGUCCAUGGGUUCACGUCCUCAACCAACCCAAGUAAGGCAUGAAAUCAGCCAAUGCGGAGCCAGAACUACUUAUUGUAACAUUACCUUAAAGUUUGAAAAAAACAACCUCCUGAAAGUCAGGAUUUGUUGUCUAGAGUGCAAAAUGUGAUAAAAGAGCCUCACGAUGAUAGCCUUCAUCUGAUAGAAACCAACAGGUUGCGUAAUCUUGACAUCAAAUCGUUUGCUCUGACUUCCAUGAUGAUAAGCCACUGAUGGGAAAAUCACAGUUUGGCAAUGCAUGAAAAUGCAAUACUGAUAUGGGUCCAACAUGGAUACAUAAAUAUUAUCAAGAAAAAAGCCUGAACUGAGAAGGUUAAAUACCCAUGUUGAUCAUCUAUCUAAACAGUUGGAAGUCUUCUUCUCAAGCUGGCAAUCAUCCUUCAUACAGUUCGUCUAGAAUAGUCGUCUAAAGAGGAAGCUGCUUCCAGGUUUCAGACCGAAUCUUAUCCAGUUUGGGGAGGACGUCGACACCAAUUAUUAAAUGAGAUAUGCAGUGAAAGAGGUAACAAUGGGGAUGGUGAUCUUUGUCAUGAUAAGGGUUUUGAAGGUCACGAUUCAUGCUCCAAAUGCUCAGAAAUUUAAAUUUGCGGAAUCAGGGAGAGCAGGAAAUGUCUGAGCAAAUCUAAAUAGCAAAGGAGAAACAAGAGGAUGGUGGAGUUUGGUAUCUUCUAGGAAGCCACUCUCGAAAGUCCAGAAAUGUAGGAUCCAUCAGAAAGCCUCUAGCUUACUGCCCCUUUGCCUUCACACACGCGAAGAAGUUGCUGAAUCCUAUUGACUGAGGGUUAAUUUCUGAGUCUGGGCAAUUUGAUACGCCUGAAGAAUGAGAAGUUAUUCGGGAAACUGAACAUCUGAAGAUCAAUAAAGACACAAGCACUCAGUUGAAGAAAAUUGUUUGUGAGCAGGUUGACGACAGAAGCAGAACUCAGAUGUUAAUAUAAGAGAAAUUGCUUAUACACAUUUCCAGAUCAGAUGAUAAGUUGAAAUUGCUUUUCCGCCAGCAUUUUCUCUCUUCUGCCAUUAUGAGGCACCGUUAGAAUGAUGACAAUGGUUCUACUUCCUCCAAUGUGGUAAAUCCAAAUGACUUCUCAUCACUCUCUGAACCUGAAUUAGAAGAAAUAUUGGAAGACAUCAGUUGGAGUGCACCAAGUUCUGGCUUGGGUUGUGAUGGCAGUAGCAUGAAAACAGAAACUUUAGGAAGAGAUGGCAGUAAAAUUCAUUUCUCCACAGUUGUUUUGAGUGAAUUGAGUUUGCUGACAGUGACAACUGACGUCAGUAUGCAGAAUUCCAUUUCAGCAAUCUACAGAAGCAUCCUCUGGCAACCCUAGCAAUUCAGUUUCAAAAGCAGCCCGGACACUAAUCCAGCUUGGCCACCUUGGUACACCUCCUCUGUUUGCUUCUUUGAUUUGGGAAUCUACUGUUUUGAAUAGAAUUUUCAAAUCAUUUUUCAACUAAACAUUUCUAUCUUUUUAAACUCCAUCCUUAGACUUGUUAGGCACUAAAAUCUUUAUUUUUAACAAACUUUUUGUUGCCAUCUUCCUUUCGGCAUGCAUUUUCACUAUCUUCAACUAUUUUCUUGAUUAUCUCGAUUUUCAACAAGCAUGAAUACACUUCAAGAUUCCAAAUAAUGGAAUUCAUAGAAUCAAUUCAUCUAAAAUCGAAUUGGGCCUUGGUGGGGGCCCGACAUUCUUGACAUUUUUUUUAUAUUGAUUUAAAUGCGAUGAUUGCUUGAUAUUUGAUUAAUUUUGAUUCUUAUAUGUGAUAUACAUGAGUAUGCUUUAUACCUAUUGUCAAGCUUUUUUUUUUUUUUUUUUUCUCCAUGAAUUGCUUAGCUUGCUACCAGGUACACUCUCUAUCACCCACCUUCUAAAUUCUGUGAAUAUGCUUGCCAUUGUAAACUAUAUAUAUGUUUGAUAGUACUUGGGUGUCUUGAUAUUUGUUUCAUUGUUCGAUUAUUUCUGAUGAAACGCAUGUUGGGUGAUAUACUAUUUGAACCGACUUUGAUGUUUUGUGAUAACGCUUAAAAUGCAACUCAGGUACACACCCUUUGACUCUCUUUUAUGAUCAUGAUUUGACCUUCUGACUUAGUAUGUUAAUUCUAAAAUUACCUUAGUCCACCUAGGUAUCUUCAAUCAAUUAAUUAAUUGUUACAUUCCCCUCAACUUAGUCAUUAAAGACAGAGUUUAGGGCUUAUUGGGGUGUUACCUCUUAGAGGUACCUUUCCAAUAGGUAGCUUGAUCCUCGGACCAAGACUCGGGUUUUUUAAGACUUACUUUUCUAAAACUAUGGAGUCACGUUUUUACAGUUUUCUUUUUUGUUUUAUUUUCCCUUGUAAAAUAAAAUAAGUGAUGACUCCAACUUUUCCAAAACUAAUUUUUCACUAAUAAAAAUGAGUCUUGCCAUUAAGUGGGGACACACGUGAAAAAUAUGGUUCCACAAUGUCCUAUGUGAUAGUUGUUGUUUCUUUAGACUCAUACCAUUUCAUUUGAAUUAUGCAUGUACAAUGUGUAUUAGGAUACACUAUCAUUAUUAUUUGUCAUUAUACUUGUUCUAACCCACGCUAGCAUUUUUGAAAGCACCUUAUAAAUUAUGCAUGUUGUCCAGGUACGCCUUUCCCAUUUUUUAUCCUUUUAGUUCUAUAAAUAGAUAUAUUUUUUGUGUAAAAUACCCUCAUGUUUGAUUGUGUUUUGAAUUGCUUUGACUAGUGUUUGGUUUCUUGAAUACAAUAGAAUGCAUGUUGUAUGUUAUAUAUCUUGUUGCUUGGACUAACUUUGAUGUCUCAUGAUAGUGCUUAAGAAACAAUCCAUGUGUGCACCCUAACUCUUCUUUAUGAUUACGAUUUGACUUUUUUGUUUGGCAUAAUAGAGUUUUAAAAUCACUUUAACUUACCUAGGUAUCCUCAAUCAACCAACUAAUUGUUAUACUUUCCUCAACUUAACUAAUAGACACCUUUUUAGGGCUUAGAGAGGUGUUACCUCUUUGAGAUAACUUCCUGAUAGGUAACUUGAUCCCAUGAUCUAAAUUCGGUUUUUUCAAAGAUAUGUUUUUCCAAAAUUCAAGGAGUCAUUUUUCUUAAGGUUUUAGUUUCUCAUUUUAUUUUCCCUAUAAAAAAUUAAAAAUAAGUGGCGACUCCAGUUUUUCAUAAAAUACAGUUUUUCAUAUUAAAAAACGAGUCUCGCCGAUGAGUGGGGAUGCACAUGAAAAAUGUGGGUCCGCACUAGGUUUGCCACCCUUUUGCUACCUUACUACAAGAAGAACAAGAUUGUAGAGAAGUGUUCAGAGGUAUAUUUUAGAUCUAAUCUCUCGUGGUUUUCUAAGAUUGAUCAAAUUAAGGUAACAUAAUUUUUUCAGGGCCUACACCAACAUCAAUCAAAUUUAAUUUUUUUUUUCAUAUUUAAUUAACCAAAUUAUUUCUUUGUACAAAAUACAUGUAAUCAUGUUAUAUAUUUAUGUGGAGAACAAAAAACAAAGGGUUCCUCUUUCAUUCAAACGAGAUAGUGUUGCAAAUGAUGUAUCAGAAUAUGAGAGAUAGGAUGGAGAAUGUUGUCCACAAAAGGAGCAUUUGCCAUGAUUAUAUCACUAAUGGAGGAGAAGGUGAAGCUUUCAACAGAUGGACAAAUGGAUUUACUCCUCAAAAUCAACCUUCAGUUAUUCAAGUUUGCUUCCUACUCCCCAAAAAUUCUAAAAGCAUAUGUAACAAUAAAAAUAUCAGUAACUACGGAUAUACUAUACUUAAAUUUUAUGGAUAUAUUUAAUAUAUCGGGGAAAUAUUGUGGAUAUUUUGACACAAAAUAUAGAUGGAUGAAAAUUCAUAAAAAUAUUAGAAAAAACUCAAAAAAUGAUAUAUAUAUAUAUAUAUAUAUAUGUAUAUGUAUAUAUAUAUAUAUAAGAUAUAUGAUAAACUAAAAUAUAUGUAAUAUGCAUCUUAUGAUUCGAAGACCAACAUAGCUUUACUAGCAAGUGAAUUAAAUUCCAUGCAGCAUACCACUGUUCAAGUCUUGGUGGUGUGCUUUGGCUUUAUUAUUUUUCUAAUCUUUGUAAGUGAAUCCCACAUCUGAAAUGGGAAGCAGAAUGAAGCUAUAUUUAAGAAGGGAUGCUCCCAUCAUGUGCACUGUUGAGGUGUGGAUUGAGCUGCAGCAAGGAUGCAUGCUUUUGAGCAUAUGUAAACAAGCACAAUAAUGUAGCUUCUUUAGGUGUUGUCACAUGUCAUGAUUUGGCCCACUUUAAGUGGGGUUCAGUAAAUAUUGCCCACUAGUUAACGAUAAGAAGUACCACAACACCUGUAGGGUUCUAGUAAUUAUAUUGCCCGCUAGUUAAAGAUAAGUAACACAAAUUAGUGAUUAAUCACCACUACUGACAGCUAUCACUUUGCCCCACCAUUUCAAAGCUGGUGCACGUCCUUGCAAGCCCACUAAUGGCUCUAACCGAUCAGAGCCAAGGCCUUCCUCUUCACACACGGGCGUUACUGCAUCGCACCAGCGCAAACCGAGUAUUUGCAGUCCUCUACUUGUGUGCCAUCUUAGCUCUGUUGUAUCAUCACUACCUUGCUCUACUUAACUCCACCACCAUAGUCUCCUUCCUCAUUCUUCUCGCUGAUGCAGUGCUGGCUUUCAUGUGGGUAACCGCACAGGCCUUUCGGAUGUGUCCAACCCAACGUCAGGUUUUCAUCGAACACCUUCAACAUAUGCAUGUUGCCGAGGAGAGUGAUUAUCCGGCACUGGAUGUGUUUAUCUGCACUGCUGAUCCAUACAAGGAACCACCUAUAGGUGUGGUGAACACUGCUCUAUCUGUGAUGGCGUACGAUUAUCCAGUAGAGAAAUUGUCAGUAUAUGUAUCAGAUGAUGGAGGUUCGCAGCUGACCCUCUUUGCUUUCAUGGAGGCUGCUAGGUUUGCAACCCAUUGGCUACCUUUUUGUCGGAAGAACAAGAUUUUAGAGGGUGUCCCGAGGCCUGCUUAGGGUCCAAGCCCUCAUCAAGGCUCCCUGAGGCUGAUCAGAUUAAGGUAAUUAACUUUAGAGAUUCAAUGAUAUGUGAUAAAAUUUUCAUGAUUAGGAUCAAAUAUAAUGUCUAGUGGAAGAAGGGAAUACAUUUAAUCUCAUCAGCUUGAACAACACUCCAAAUUAACAUGACUCAUAAUUUGCAUAUUAAUUGGUAUUUUCUUCUACAAUUCUCGUGACUUGAUUUCUAUUUGGAGUUAGUUUUUACUUUUUAGCAAAUACAAGCAGAGUCUUCAAUUCAUACUAUUCAGCAAUUAACCGAAGGUUUACACAUUCAAUUAUCUGAUCAGUAUAGGCAAACCACAAAAAAGUCCACUUGAUGAAUCUUCACAAUUGGAGUUAUCACCUUCUUCUACACAUAUCUUUAAGCUUCACCUAUUUUUCAAAACUGAAAUCAGUAAAUUACCAAGAUAAUAUUGUUUUAUGUUGGAAUUUGGAAGCAUCCUAAUUGGACUUCUCUCUUGGAGGAUAUCAUAACCACGUUCAGAGAAGUCAGACCCAUAUGCUGUGCGUUGAGAUCUUGCUAGACCAAGUGACAUGGUGGUUCCCACCUUCAACGGAAAAUAAAAUAUUGUUUUAGUGAUAAAAAUAAUAGAGAUUAGUUGAAACAUUACCAUAGCUGAGAUAACCUUGAAUUAAUUCCACCCUUAUUAUUUUUAAAUCCUAAUAUGACUUGCUUGUUUCUUGCUCCUCGCAUAUUCGAUACAGUUUCCUUUCACCAACGCUGACGUAAUCUUUUCAUGAUCCUUCAUAUCUGGAACCACCAACAUUUGACUAACGUUACCUACUAUAUUAUACACUGUUGCAAAUUAUUCUACAACAUUUGUAAUUAGGAUAUAUAAAUAAUUAAUCAUAUAUAGUAAUGUUUAGAGGUUAAUAAUAAUCAAAAUCAUUCCUGAAUUAUGAUGCAGCUGAUGUACGAGAACAUGAGAGUUAGGGUGGAGACUGUGGUUAAGAGUGGGAUAAUUAGCCAUGAUUAUAUCAAUAGCAAGCAGGAAUUGGAAGCUUUCAGCAGAUGGACUGAUGGAUUUACAUCUCAGAAUCAUCCUGCAGUGAUUCAGGUUUAUUAUAUUAAUGAAACUUUAAUAUAUAUAUAUAUAUAUAUAUAUAUAUAUAUAUAUAUAUAUAAAAUGAAAAAUUCUGGGUGUGCUCCGCAACGUGGGGCAAUAGAUUUAACUAGAAAAAAGGAGGCCUUUAAUGGAGGCAAAAGAUUUUUAACACUAAUAUGGUGGGGCAUGCAUUGACAACAGGUUUUGUUAGAGUGUGGUCAAGAUGAGGAUGUCAUGGGCCAUACGAUGCCCAACCUUGUUUAUGUAUCCAGAGGGAAAAGCAUCAAGUUACCCCACAAUUUCAAGGCUGGUGCUCUUAAUGCACUGGUAAGCUCACUAAUGGCCAUCGAGCUUUAUGAUUGAUCUUUCAAAAUAAGUGGCCCGCACAACCAUGGGUUUAUAAAUAUAAAUACUUUUGUUUAUAUGUUUUGAAGCUUCGUGUAUCAGCCACCAUGACUAAUGCACCAGUGAUCCUGCCCCUAGAUAGCGAUAUGUAUUCCAAUGAUCCACAGACACCUCUUCGUGCGCUGUGUUAUAUCUUAGACCCCUCUAUGGAUCCCAAACUUGCGUAUGUUCAGUUUCCUCAGAUCUUCUAUGGGAUCAACAAGAAUGAUAUUUAUGGUGGUGAAGCCAGGCAUGGAAUGCUAAUUCAUCCCGCGGGAAUGGAUGGACUGAAAGGCCCUAUGUAUCUAGGUACAGGAGGGUUUUUCCAGAGAAAAGUUUUCUUUGGGGGCCCAUUAGAAACCUCUGAACUGACCCAGGAUCACAUAGCGAGCAAGUCGAUCAAGUCCAGGGAAAUUUUAGCAUCCGCCCACCAUGUUGCAGACUGCAAUUUUGAGAGCCAGACCCAAUGGGGCACCAAGGUAGGCUUGGUUACUACUAGGAUAUAGAAUUAAAGAUGACAGUUUUGAGAUGCUUCUUGUUUAUUUAAAGGGAACAUUGCCACUUUCUAUAAUGUGCAGGUCGGCUUUAGGUAUGGAUCACUGGCUGAGGACUUCUACACUAGCUAUAUGCUUCAAUGUGAGGGAUGGAAGUCCAUUUUUUGCCAUCCUACAAGGCCUGCGUUUCUGGGAAAUUCACCCAUCAAUUUGCAUGACUUUCUGAAUCAAACCAGGCUAUGGUCAAUCGGCCUCCUUGAAGUGGCCUUCUGCAAAUAUAGCCCAAUCACAUAUGGCACCCGCACCAUAAACCUUCUCAGUGGCCUAUGUUUUGCUUACUAUUCCUUAUGGCCCAUUUGGUCAAUUCCCAUUGCGAUCUAUGCCUUUCUCCCCCAGCUAGCUCUGCUUAAGCAUGUCUCGAUCUUCCCAAAGGUAUGCCCUUUUACUAGAAUAAUGGUUAAUAAUAAUAAUAUUGAUAUUUACUGAAAAAAAUUGAAUGGUUUUGCAGAUGUCAGAUCCCUGGUUUUUUGUGUAUAUAUUCUGUUUUCUUGGAGCUUACGGACAAGAUUAUCUCGAGUUAAUAAUAUCUGGGGGCACAACUCAAAGGUGGUGGAACAAUCAGAGAGCAUGGAUGAUGAGGGGGCUCUCGAGUUACUCAAUUGGGUCGGUUGAAUACAUCCUCAAGUCUAUUGGCAUUUCCACAUUCCAAUUCAGUGUGACAAGCAAGGCUGUGGGAGAGGAACAAAGCAAGCGAUACAAGAAAGGGAUGUUCGAGUUUGGAGUCGUAUCACCCUUAUUCUUGCCACUAACAACAGCAGCAAUAAUCAACUUGGUCUCAUUCCUAUGGGCCAUUGCACAAGUCUUCGGGCAAGGAAGCAUUGAAGGUCUACUUCUGCAGAUUUUGUUAGUUGGUUUUGCAAUGGUGAACUGUUGGCCCAUAUAUGAAGCCAUGGUGUUGAGGGCUGAUGAAGGAAAGAUGCCAGUGAAGAUCACAUUGAUCUCAAUUGUCCUUGCAUGGGCUCUUUACUUGGUAUCUUCCAUAGCAUUUUAAGAUAUGGUGACUGUAAUUUUCUCACUGUUUCUUUAAUCAUUUCCUUGGUACCAUAAUGUAUGAUUAAAGAUCUUGUUUUAAGAUCACUAAUUGCUCAGUAAUUCAAAUCAUCAAAAUGAAAGUCAUCUAAUAAAUGAAGCUUUCUUUUCAUGUAUUUUAAGGUAGUUCAGACAGAUAUGGAAUUUUAAGGUAGUUCAGCAGAAUACCACAGCCAAGAAACAAUUAAUCCACUGCCUGAUAAAAAAUUUAUAGUCCAGAAAUAAUUCCAUAUUUCCUCUGGUGUAUACACUCUCAAUCUCAACCAUUGCUUGAAUAUAUAGGCGAUGUUGGAAAAGAGUAGAUUCGAUGAGAUAUUACUGCAUGCUUAGAGAUUUGCUAGCUGUUUUUUUCACGUAAAUAUACAAUGAUCACCAUCUCCUGUGAAUUUGGAAUGUUUGGUUGUAGGUUCGCUGAGUGGUUAUUUAGUUCCUAUUAUUGUGUCUUGUAUUUCCUAUAAGACUUGUUUAAAGAAUUUUGAGAGUGAAUCAAUUCGUAAGAAUUUUUUCUCCAAAUAUUUCUGAUGUUUCACCUGGCCAAGGUAAGCUCAGUAGCUACUAGCUAGUGUAUUGUGUACAUUCAUCACAUCAAGAUGGAAAAACAAACUAGACAGAAUCAAAAGAGAAUACGGUUACUCUUCCUUUAUUUCUCAAAGUACAGAGAAUUUAGGCUAAAGCUCCUACAGAGAAUGCAACAUGUUUUUAUAAUAGAUGUCACUACAAGAAGGUAGGUUUAUGGCCACGGCUGGCACCCUGCAGCUAUGGAAGGUGCAGAUAAAUGUUGUAGCUGCGGCCACAUAUAAAAGCAUGGCUAUAAGUCUGAAACUAUGGCUGCGGCUGCACUUUUGCUGGACUUAAUAUGGUGUAUAGUUGCCAGAAGUGGCCACAACGAUAGCGUACAGCAUGCUGCUACAGGUGCCAGCUACUUGUGGCCGCGACCAGAUGCCCUGAUUGAUAGAUGCUUCUGUUCUAGCACUACUAUGUAUGUCCAGCUGGCUGUAUAUUUUAUGGACCAUCACUUUUUAAAUUUUUUUUUUAUCCAAACAACUUUCCAUGGUGGAGACUAAUUUGAUUUGGGAACUAUAUGUAAAAUUAAUUAUUAAAAGUAUAUGUAAAUCAACAUAUUAAAAGUGUAUAUAUAUAUGCCUUGGUUAUAUAUAUAUAACCAAGGCCGCAAUUCCUGUUACAUGCGGACAAGCCAUAGAAGUUCCAGAGAGAAUGUUGAAAUGCAUUUUCUCAAGUGCUGAAGACUAGGCUGCAAGGAUAUUCAAUCCAGGAGCUGUGACAUCAGGCUACAAAGAAAAAUAAUCAGAAAUGAAGCAUGAGUACAAUUAAAAACAAGUAAUUAAAGGAGCAGCCCGCAUAAAAUUUGAUGCUCUUUAGUAGGAAUUUACCUUCAAAAUUUCUGGGAUUAAGGUAUUGGGACUUUUUGAAGAAAAUGCUGCAACUCGAGGAGCAGGAUGAGACCCCAAUACAGUUUUUGAAGGGAAAAUUCUAGAAACCGGUUUUCUGUUCAUGUAAAUGGAAUAGGCUUAAAUGAGAAAUACAAAGUAAUUCAAUUAUCUCAUACUGAAUCUUCAUCAUCAGAGAGUAGAAAAUAACCGUGUAUGAUUAAUAUAGGAUAGAAUCCUGUCACCCAUGCCCCUUCCAACAAUAGCUGCAGGGAUCACAAAAGGAAUGGUAACAUCUUUAUCUACUUCAUCUAUAAGAAUCAUCCCAACUCCACCAGCUUCUCUGACUACUGCACUCUUUGCCAGCUUGGAAUCUGUUGAACUCUCAGCAUGUUGGCAUACCAAAAUCUCUGUCUGGCUUUAGUAUUAUUCAAGGAACUCUCCAAACAGUAGCGAGAGGAACAAGUAAACAAGAAAACAUAACUUGAGAUUUUUCAUUUAUGCAUUAAUAUCUAAGACCAUACUUAUUGUCAGGUACCUUCUGCUUCACCUGGAUUGGUAGGGAGUGAAGUAUCCUGCAUAGGAUUCUGAAGCAGAGAUGAUGCUUGUGGAGGCAUUCAUUUCAAACAGACUCAAACUUCACCCUAUUCAAUGACCAAGAGGUGUUUUAAGAGCCUGAGAAUAAUGUAUAAAUCUACAGACAUUAACCAGGAAAUAGCAUUGCUGUGAAAUUAGCACAUCUCCUAAUACGAUAUCAGAUAUAAAAUCCCUAUCUGUUCAACUAGCAGCAACAGUGAUCAUCCAUGGAGCAAGGUUUGUUGCUGAACCUUGAUUUCCUUCAUUUCCAACAGAAGCAACUACCACUACCCCAUGGCUAGCAGCAUGCAAUGACCCCAAGGAGAUGGCAUCAUUAAAAUAAUCUCCCUGAGGAGCUUAAGGACCUAAGGACAGAGACAAGAUAUGAAUGCCAACUCUAAUUGCAUCAUCAAAGGCAGCUAGUAAGUCCACAUCGUAGCAACCUGAGUCCCAACAAGUCUUGUACACUGCAAUCCUUGCCAUUGGAGCACUUCCUCUAGAACCUCCAGCUGCCAAGCCCUUAUAAUUCAUUUUGUCAUAUACCGGCCUGCAGCUGUUGAGGCUGUGUGGCUGCCAUGACCAGAACUGUCCCUAGGGGAUUUGAAUGACACAGACGUUAUCGGAUCUUCUUCAGCUUCAUAGCCACUCAAAUAAUAUCUGGCUCCAAUCACUUUCCUAUAUCGUAAUUUAAAAAAAAAAAAAAGUGAGGAUCCCUCUGUCAAUAAAUUUCCAUCAAAUGAUCUUACUAAAUAAGGUGUUACUAUUAUAAAAACUGUUGCAAGAUGAUGCAUUAAAUGCUUCUCCUGAUUGGCAUUGUCCAUUCCACCCAGCUGGUACUGAAGGCAUUGUCCAUUCCUCCUAAAUAUUUUAUCAAAGGAAACAAUAAUUAGUUUGAACAGUGCCACAAUCAAGUCAAGAAAGAUUUGAAGUUUGAACAAUACCACAAUCAAGUCAAGAAAGAUUUAAACAUGCUCUUUGGAUGAAAUGCAGGUGAUCAUUCAACCACUGCAUCACAACUCAAACAAGACAUGCAUAGAAAACAAAUUCAAUUUCAGCAAUAUAGGGCAUAGAUAUUGAUCAUUGUUGAGAAACCCAUAUAGUUGCUAAAUGUACAUACAGCCAUCUAAUUUUAAAGGCUAGUUUGGCCCUAUUUGAAUAAGUUUUGGAUUGUGCACCAUACCUAGAAGCCAUACUCUCUCUGGAUUGUGCACCAUGUUUUAUUAUGACAUCCUCUUCUUGUUCAAGUAUUUGGAAAAGCAAGUCCUGGAUUUUUCCUCCCUACAAAUAGAGAAGCAUUUAAAUUUUAAAAUAAACCCCAAAAGCAGGGAAGGAUUUUGUCCCUGUAUAAUGUGACAGAAACCUAUACUAUAAGUAGGCAGACAACAUUUCAGACUUUAAAUGGCUACAAUUACCAGAUGGUGAUGAAAAAUAAGCAGGAAAUAUCAGUCUGGUGGCUUAUGUUUCUCUCUGAACAUAUUUUUAGGAGAAAAAACUGUUAAAUAGAUGUAAAACCAUAAAUAAGGGUUUUAAACCAAUGAUUACAGCAACUAGAGUCAAUUCCCAUGUAAGUUCAUAACUAAACACUGCGUUCAGAAAUGAAUCACCAUCCAUAUUCAGCAUCAACCAUAAUCAUCUAUGCUUCAAAAUUAAAGGCAUCAAGUAGUAGAAGAAAAGUACCCACUCAUAAGGAUCACAAAGGAUGUGCUACAGGCUGGUUAAUAAAACAAACCUUGACCGCGUAUUUUCUUUCACAAAACUGCUUGCUGUCUCCUGUAAAAUCUUGGGAGAGAAACUCAGGUUAAUUUUUCCAUAUUUUUAAGAAUGUUUCUACAGAGUCCCACAAAAUUGUGACAAGUAACUACAACCCUACGUCAAAAUCUUUUGACCUGCAUUAUUAAUCAAGAUCACCAUUCUUGAUAAGCUCCCAGUUCUGUGCUAAAUUUCCACAAUAUUUUGAAUCAAAUUUUUGUAAAUAUAAUUUGCAAUCUGAAUAUCAAACAAAAGUACAUAUUUAAUGCAUAGAUAUUAAAAACCUUUAAAUCAACCUCCUUAGCCAUUUCUGUAUAUCAUCAUAAAGUCAUCCUUCCUAUAAUAAGGAGGCUGCUAGAAAUAGCAUAAAGGCAAUUCCUCACUUAUAAUCUCUUUUCGCAAUGCAACAAAUAAGUCUAACAGUUUCUUUAUGCUUGCUAAGACUAGAGUUAAUACCUCAAGUGGGACAAAUUGCAAAUUGAAGAAUUUUGAAGAUAUAUCUUCCGAAGUUUCCUUUUGCCUCUCUUUCCGCUCCUCCCAAAGGUAACUGCAAUUUCAAGGCAAAAGGAGUGAUAGAAAUCUAGAGAGCCCAAAAGCAAAUGCAAUAGCAAAUAAGCAGGCUUCCCAAACUAAAAUAGCAAAAACAGAGUAACCUAGAAUUCAAAUUGUUAGAGAAAAUUUAAAAAUUUAGCCCGUGUAAAUGAAAAAAGAAGUACCAGAGUAGCGACAAUGGCCAUUUUGUGAAGAGUGGUCACCACAUGAAUAUGCAAUCUGCUACUGAAAUGGUAGCACAAAAAUUCCUAACAAAUGAUUUUUUAAACAAGAGAUUAAAAAUCAAAAAGAAAAAUUAACAACCAUUGCUAAUGGAUUUGAAUAGAAACAAAUCCAUCUUAUUUUCGAUUUUGAUGCAAUGGAGAGGUGGAAGGAAAAGGGAAAACGGGAGAAGAAAAAAAUGAUUCAAAAAUGGGAUUUUAGAAUCUAACAUGGGAGAGAAAUUUGUUUUACCUUAAUUUGAAGGUGUGGGAUCGUUGGAGUCGAGGGCUACUGAAGUGGGAUUUCAGAGAGAACUGUUGAAGGAGAAGGGGAUAUUAGAGCUUCUUGUCAUGGAUUUAGUUUUUUCUUAAGCUUGUGUGGCACUUAUACAAGCCAAGACACUUGAUCUAAGUCAGUCUUACUUCUUAUGCUUAUCUGUUAGACUAAGAUGCACACGACUUAGAAGCUUUAGAAGGCGUAGUAGGCAACUCGUAAAGAAUUAAAGCUUUUAUUGCUCAAAGAAAGCUUUACAAGUGCUUGAAAACUCACUUGCUUGGUUAAGAAGUGAUUUAGGUGGUGCCUUGGCCAAAUGAGGUCUUAACCUAUUUAUAGGCACCUUAAAAAGUCUCUAGAACCUUGGAGGAUUCCUUACAAAUCAAGAAUAAUCUAGAAGCUCCUACACUAGUCAAUGUACAAGGUUGUGUACAAGAAGACUUUGGAAGACUCUAGAACACCCCACACUAUUCCAAUGGUUUCUUAUCUAAGUGUAAAGAUGUGUAGGCAUCUCUAGCCUUCUCUAGAAGCUUCCACAUUCUUCCACCUUGUAGCUAAGUGAAGAUGGUUUUAGGGGUCUUUAGAAGCUUCCUGCCCUAUAUAUAAGCCUAUGGGGAAGGGUCAUUUAAAGCAUCUUGUUACACUUUCCCUUACCCAUGCCGUCGAUGUCUCUGUUGUCACCUCAACUUGAAACUUCUCAAUGUGUUUCCAGAACUUUCUUAAGGCAUCCACGUGUUCCUAGCUUGCUUGUCAUUUAGUUAGUCAUUUCCAUCGCACUAGAUGCUUUAUCACAUGAGGGACCCCUUGUCUCUUGGUGACCACCCAUUUAGCCAGGAUAUCCUUCACCUCCUUUUCCUGUGAAGCCCCAAACGGAUGUAGACACUUACGCCUUUGAUGCUUAGAGCGCUAUUUUUUCUUGCCCAUCGAGUUCACCUUUCCCUUAGUGACCUUAUCCAUGUGUGGGUGAGCUACCUCAGCUUGCACUUUCUUUGCCUCAUUUACUUGUACCCCUAAUAGUAAGGAGGUCUUAAGCAUACUAGGCUUUGGGUUGACUUGGAGGGCACCUAGUAGCUAUAUCGAACCCAUAUGUGUUUCAUUUUCUUGUUCCUUCUCCUCGAUCAUUGCAUUGAGCGCCUUCCUCUUUGGACAAUCCAGUGCCUAAUGUGGACCAUCACACAUGAAGCACUUGAUUUUAAGUGUAAAAUCCUUCAUUUUCGCUUUACCUUUUCCUUCUUGGAUGUUAGACGUCUUGCUCAAUCUCAUUCUAACAAAACCAUGCUCCAUCGCAUCCUCGUUUUCUGUACUCUUGUAUGGCUAUCCUCCAAACACUCAACCAUGGAAGAAUUUCCUCUUUUGUAAUUCAUUAAAGACUCUGCUACUACCAUAGCAGUGGCUAAGUUUUAAACUCCUCGGCACCUUAGUUCUUACUCAAUCCACUAUUGCAAGUUAUCCAUAAAAUUAAAUAAUAAUUCCUCCUUAGUCAUAUCAGGAAUCUCAAGCAUGAGCGAAGAGAACUUCUUAACAUGGUCGCAAAUAGAGCUUGUGUGCUUGAGACGCCUCAUGUUUUUCCUAGCCUGGUAAGCCAUGUCAUCGGGGUAGAGCUAUCUCUUGAUCUCCCUUUUGAAAUCCUCACAUGUCUCUAUGGUGCAAAUGUCUUUCUCCAUAUUGGUGAUCUUCCUGCGCCACCAUAGAGUAGCCGUGUUGGUGAGGUAAAGUGUGAUGUCCCACAUCGGAUAGGGGGAGAGGUUCCUAGCACUAUAUAUGUAGAGGCUCCCCUUAACCAAGUAGACACGUUUUAAAGCUGUGAGAGCCCUUUUGGGCCUAAAGCGGACAAUAUCUACAUGGUUGGGUGCGGGUCGUUACAAAUGGUAUUAGAGCCGAUUUCCGACCCCGGUGUGGGGGUUUGUUUGGCCCAUAAAGGGUGUUUGUCUGUUUGACCCUACAAUCCCAUGGGACACAACGAGGACGUUGUGUUUGCAUGGGGGGAAGGUAUUUGUGAUGUACCACAUCGGAUAGGGAAGAAAGUUUCUGACGCUAUAUAUGUAGAGGCUCCUCUUAACCAAGUAGACGCGUUUUAAAGCCGUGAGGGCCCCCUUGGGCCUAAAGCGGACAAUAUCUACAUGGUUGGGUGCGGGUCGUUACAUAGAGGGUCGUAGUCCUCACCUUAGCUAUCUCAUCCACUAACGCGAUAGCCUUAAGGUAGGGAAAUUCACCUAUCAACAUCCACAACACACUGAAUCAACUUAUGCGAUGGUCUGUUGGCCUCCUCGAAGUGGCCUUCUACAGAUAUAGUCCCAUCACCUUUGGAGUCAAGUCCAUAAACCCUCUCAUAGGGCUAUGUUAUGCUCACUACGCCUUCUGGCCAAUAUGGUGCAUUCCAAUUACCAUCUAUGCCUUUGUCCCCCAGCUAGCUUUGCUCAAUUGCGCCUCAAUCUUCCCAAAGGUAUGCCCAUCUAGGCAUUCAUUAGCAUCGCAAUUAUGAAUUCAUGAUUAAUAACAUUAUAUAAUUGAUACUUAAUAAGCAAAUUGUAUGGUUUUACAGGCCUCAGACCCUUGGUUUUUAUUGUACAUAUUCCUUUUCCUUGGUGCCUAUGGGCAAAAAUGUCUCGAGUUUAUGUUAGCUGGAGAAACAAUCCAAAGAUGGUGGAACAAUCAAAGGAUGUGGACAAUUAGGGGACUCUCAAGCUUAAUUUUUGGAUUGGUUGAAUACUUACUGAAGUUCAUUGGCAUUUCCACAUUUGGAUUUAAUGUCACAAGCAAGGUAAUUGAAGAAGAACAAAGAAAGCGAUAUAACCAAGGGAUUUUCGAGUUUGGAGUCCCAUCACCCUUGUUCUUGCCCAUGACAACAGUUGCAGUAAUCAACUUGGUCUCAUUCCUAUGGGGCAUAGUACAACUAUGAUGGCUUCUUAAUUAAACGCAAAAAUCAUAAAGUUUUAGUAAGAGCCAUAAGCAUGCUCGAGUGUACGCUCUAGAAGAUAAUUAAGAAAAACAUAGCCAUAAUUCGAGGGGGGCUCAAAUGAUAGCUGGUUAACUAGUUGUUAGAGAGGAAUUUGCUAGUUUUUGGUGUUAUCUUCUGCAUGAUUCUUGCAUUCCGUAGUUGUUGACAACCCUUGAUUAGCAAUAAUUUGGUUGGAAAAGAAUUUUCUAGUUGAUAGUUUGAAAUUUUGAACUAUUUCCCUUACACCUUCUAUGGAUCCAAAGUUUGGGUACAUUUAGUUUCCUUGGUUCUUCCAUGGAAUCAACAAAGCUGAUAUUUAUGGUGGAGAAAUCAGGCAUCUAUUAAUUAAAUCCAUCACUCAUAGGAAUGGUGUAUGGGUAGGCAAGCCCUACAUAUGUGGUUAUACAAGUUUUUUUCCCACUAAAUGUUUUCUUGGGUGUGGCCAUCAGAACCAUCACAAAAUUAACCCAGAAACCAAGAUCAACAUGUCCAAAAGAAGUUUUAGCAUUGGCAUAUCAUGAUGCAGGGAUUUUUUAUAAGGAGUACGACAGUUUUUAAAAAUAAUGUCUAAAUUACCAUGGUAAAAAAAAUAAUUCCAAAUCUACGUAGUUUUGUCCAGCAAAGAGAGAGAAGAAAUUUGUAAGUGAGAAAUCGUCUCUUCAAGAGAUGAUUUUCACAAAAAAAAAAAAAAAAUAAUUCUCACUUUAAAUUUUUAUUUUUUAUUUUUAAAACACCUAAGUGGGGAAUUGUCUCUUAAAGAGACGAUUUCCACAAAAAAAAAAAAAAAAAAAAAAAAAAAACAUCUAAGUAGGAAAUCCCACAAAAAAAAAAAUUUAAAUUCUCACUUAAAUUUUAAAAAAAAAAAAAAAAAACAUGAAAAACGAUUUCCACACACAAAAAAAAAUAAAUAAAUAAAUAAAUUCUCACUUUAAAAUAAAAUAAAAUAAACCAUGUGGUAAAUAGUCUCUUUCACCCUCCCCCAAUAAAAGCUAAAAGUGAUAGUAUACAAGAGCCAGAGAAACCUCACCCGCAGGAUACACACCAAAGAAAUGGGAGAUUCAACUGGGGGCAAGAGCAGCACCAUCCAUGUCCCUCUUCACAUUCGUGUGCCACUGAGUCGAACCUCUGCAAACCGAGUAUUUGCUUUCUUCUACUCUUUAGCCAUCUUAGCUCUGCUGUAUCACCGUUGCAUUGCUCUACUCCAGUCCUUCACCAUAGUCUCCCUCCUCAUUCUUAUGGCUGAUGCAGUGCUGGCUUUCAUGUGGGCAACCUCACAGGCCUUUCGCAUGUGUCCAGUGGGUCGUCGGGUUUUCAUUGAACACCUUGAACAUUAUGCCAAGGAAAGUGAUUAUCCGAGGUUGGACGUGUUUGUAUGCACUUCUGAUCCAUAUAAGGAGCCACCUAUGUGUGCGGUGAACACUGCUCUAUCUGUGAUGUCUUAUGAUUAUCCAACAGAGAAGUUGUCGGUCUAUGUAUCAGAUGACGGAGGUUCCAAGCUGACCCUCUUUGCUUUCAUGGAGGCUGCUAGGUUUGCUGCCCUCUGGCUGCCUUACUGCAAGAAGAACAAGAUUGUAGAGAGGUGUCCAGAGGCAUAUUUUAGAUCUAAUCUCUCAUGGUUUCCCGAGACUGAUCAAAUUAAGGUAACAUAUAUAUAAUUUUUCGGGGCCUGCACCAACAUUGAUCAAGUUUAAUUUCUUUCCAUAUUCAAUUAACUAGCUAAUUUCUCUGUACAAAAUACAUGUAAUCAUGUUAUAUAUUUAUGCGGAGAACAAAGAACCAAGGGUUCCUCUCUCAUUCAAACGAGAUAGUGUUGCAGAUGAUGUAUGAGAAUAUGAGAGAUAGGGUGGAGAAAGCUGUCCAGAAAGGGAGCAUUUGCUAUGAUUAUCUCACUAAUGAAGGAGAAGGUGAAGCUUUCAGCAGAUGGACAGAUGGAUUUACACCUCAGAAUCAUCCUCCAGUAAUUCAGGUUUCCUUCAUAACUUAGACUGAUAGAUGAUUGACGCUUGGCCCCCAAAAUUCAAAAAGCACAAUAAUGCUACUUUAUGUGUUAUCAAAUGUCAUGAUUUGGGCCCCUUGAGUGCGGUUCCGGUAAUAUUGCCCACUAGUUAACGAUAAGAAGUAUCACAAACUAGUGAUUGAUCACCACUACUGACAGCUACCACUGAUGCAUAUCUUGCAACUUUGAAAGCAGGUUUUGUUAGAGAGCAGUAAGGAUAAGGACAACGCUAGCCAUACCAUGCCCAACCUUGUGUAUAUCUCCAGAGGGAAAAGCACGACUUUGCCCCACCAUUUCAAAGCUGGUGCACUUAAUGUCCUUGUAAGCCCACUAAUGGCUCUAAAAAUUUAUUUUAUACAUACAUACAUACUUUAUUUUAUACAUACUUUAUACAUACAUAUACACACACAUGAAUAUGAAAAAUCACUUUGUUUACAUUUUGAAGCUACGAGUAUCAGGCACCAUGAGCAACGCACCAGUAAUCCUAACACUAGAUACUGAUAUGUACUCCAAUGAUCCUCAAACACCGCUUCGUGUGCUGUGUUAUCUCUUGGACCCUGCUAUGGAUCCCAAACUGGGGUACAUUCAGUUUCCUCAGAUCUUCCAUGGAAUCAAUGAGAAUGAUAUUUAUGGAGGUCAACUCAAAUUAGAGUUCCAAAUUGAAGCCAGUGGAAUGGAUGGAUUGGUUGGCUCUACAUAUACAGGUACUGGAUGCUUUUUCAGGCGUGGAGUCUUCUUUGGUGGUCCAUUAGAAACCCCAGAACUGAACCAGGAUCAUCUAGUGAACAAGUCAAUCAAUUCCAAAGAAGUUUUAGCAAUGGCACACCAUGUUGCAGACUGCAAUUUUGAGAAGCAAACCAAAUGGGGCACUGAAGUAAGCAUGUUGGUUACUUUAUUACUAGAUAAUAUUGAUAAAAAGGGGAGAGCUCUGCUGGAUUAUCUACUGUGUGGAUCAGUAGAAUUCACUUUCCACAAGAGAAGUCAUUUUUUGCUUUGUGUAAGAAGUUUCUUCGAAAACAGUUUUGAAAUCUAGUUUUUGAAAAUUGUUUUGAUAAUUUAUAAAACAAAAACCCUUUGGGAAUCAGAAAUGUUUUUUAACCUAUUUUUUAUCGGUUUAAAUAUGUUUUAAAAGCAAUGUUUAUGUAUAGUAUUUCAUUUUUAAUUAUUUUUCAUAUUUUUAUGAUGAUUUUUUUUUAAUUCUUAGAAAACAAGCGAAAAUAAUUGAAAUAAUUAAAAGAUGUUAUUUAAAAACACCUUAUUUUUUGUUUUUAAGAACGACUUAUUUUCUAUUGUCAAAGGUGUUCCCUAUUUUACUAUUAUAAAGAAUAAAAAUCUGUUUUUGAAAAUAGUUACUAAACAAGCCUAAAUUACUGGUGCUCCUUCUGGUCUAAUUAAUACUGUCUAGUAUGUGUUUUCAAACUCUUGCAGAUUGGCUUCAGAUAUGGAACAUUGGUUGAGGACUUCUAUACCGACUAUCUGCUAAAAUGUAAGGGUUGGAAGUCCAUUUUCUGCAACCCUAAAAGGCCUGCAUUUCUGGGAAAUUCACCUAUCAAUCUCCACAGCACACUGAAUCAACUUAUGCGAUGGUCUGUUGGCCUCCUCGAAGUGGCCUUCUGCAGAUAUAGUCCCAUCACCUUCGGAGUCAAGUCCAUAAACCCUCUCACAGGGCUAUGUUAUGCUCACUACGCCUUCUGGCCAAUAUGGUCCAUUCCAAUUACCAUCUAUGCCUUUGUCCCCCAGAUAGCUCUGCUCAAUUGUGCCUCAAUCUUCCCAAAGG